GGUUGUGGCUCAGCGGUAGAGCACUUGCCUAGCACCUGGGAGGCAUUGAGUUCGAUCCUCAGCACCA
RNAcentral lists this transfer RNA (67 nucleotides) under Marmota monax (woodchuck). RNAcentral's name for it is "tRNA.Ala". The record is from RNAcentral. Lineage: Eukaryota; Metazoa; Chordata; Mammalia; Rodentia; Sciuridae.